Daphnia pulex (common water flea) is the source of this 1290-nucleotide long non-coding RNA. RefSeq lists it as uncharacterized. The record is from RefSeq and is a predicted model, not a curated record. The transcript has 3 exons. NCBI's taxonomy places the organism in Eukaryota, Metazoa, Arthropoda, Branchiopoda, Diplostraca, Daphniidae.
GUCUUUGUAGCGAUCAUCAGAUCGUGAUUAUAUUAACUGGCACAACGAGGAUAAAACAUUAAGACUACACACAGAGGGGAGACGGACACGAAGGGGGGAACCUUUAAGCGCAAAGUCGCGAUCCCGAAUGCCCACCUAUCAUCUCUCUCUCUAACCCGUCGCUGCCACGACCGUCGCGACAUCUCCCGUACAUGGUGAAUGUCAUCGAAUACACAACAGCGUCCUGGCGGAGUGCAUCGAACCGCUGGAUGGCGUUUUGGAACCGUUUAUACCGCGUCUCUACACGACUUUUACCAACCUGGUGCGCGAUUCGGAUAGUGGAGUGCGGACCAUUUCUGUUUUUGGAUUGGGAGAACUCGUCCUCCAUGAACGUGAAUUGCUCUUCCCGUUAGUAUACUUACUUAUUAGCGGAAAAAACAUUUUUCAACUGGGCAUCGCGCUGGGCGUAAAAUGAUUUUUUAUUUAUGUUGCAGAAAUUUCCCGCUUAUUCUUGAGUUACUGUCCGAUGCAUUAUAGCACGAAACUAAUCCGCUUGUGCUGGAUAAUAUAUGCGCUGCAUUUACUCGGUUGAUCAUCGUCAACAUCAGUGUAGUAUCCAUGGAUCAGUGCUGAUGAGUCAUCUGCCAUUGCGGGAAGACUUUCACGAGAACUCUUCUGUGCUUAAAUGUUUCCUUUUUCUAUCCUCUAAUGGGCACCCUCUCUUUGCAUCGCAUUUAACUCAAGUCAUGAACGUGAUAUUAACGAUUGCCACACAACAGGAAGUGCAACCUGAGCAAGCCAAAACCCCCUGAUCAAUGAGCUGAUGGUGCACAUCGCAUCUGGUUUUUCUGAUCUGUACAACGGAUAGGAGUCUGCUCUUCCAGCUUAAGUGCAUCAGAAGUUGAAAGAGGUUUUGGCUUAAUUAGUGGGACAAACAUUUUAAACUCUUAAAUCUUCCUUCCCUUAAAAUUUUCAACCUCUUGUUUGGUAUUUUGGUAAAUUUUGUAAUCCGUUUACGAAUUUUGGAGUUGAAGCCGCCGAAGGAAAAGAAUCGAGGGAAUGUGACAGAACCAAAACAACGUACAAUCAGAAAUGUGUGUAAAUAACUAUACUCCCAUUCUUAAUUAAAUAAUUGUUCAAGUUGUCUGUGCUGAUUUGAUUGCGAUACAGAAUCCUACACUGUUGUCGAAAACUGAAUCAUUUGUGAUCUCAAUCAAUCUCACCAUUUUUUUCCCAAAAUGUCAUAACCAGUAAAUAUCACAUAGUCGAUCAAAUUUUCUCCUAAAAUUGGACGAGAGAAUUGAAAUACAA